This 1836-nucleotide ribosomal RNA is filed under the name Escherichia coli. RNAcentral describes it as "partial 23S ribosomal RNA". It matches the Rfam family "Bacterial large subunit ribosomal RNA", at positions 343 to 2167 of the family's 2925-position model. The record is from RNAcentral. Lineage: Bacteria; Pseudomonadati; Pseudomonadota; Gammaproteobacteria; Enterobacterales; Enterobacteriaceae.
UGGAAAGGCGCGCGAUACAGGGUGACAGCCCCGUACACAAAAAUGCACAUGCUGUGAGCUCGAUGAGUAGGGCGGGACACGUGGUAUCCUGUCUGAAUAUGGGGGGACCAUCCUCCAAGGCUAAAUACUCCUGACUGACCGAUAGUGAACCAGUACCGUGAGGGAAAGGCGAAAAGAACCCCGGCGAGGGGAGUGAAAAAGAACCUGAAACCGUGUACGUACAAGCAGUGGGAGCACGCUUAGGCGUGUGACUGCGUACCUUUUGUAUAAUGGGUCAGCGACUUAUAUUCUGUAGCAAGGUUAACCGAAUAGGGGAGCCGAAGGGAAACCGAGUCUUAACUGGGCGUUAAGUUGCAGGGUAUAGACCCGAAACCCGGUGAUCUAGCCAUGGGCAGGUUGAAGGUUGGGUAACACUAACUGGAGGACCGAACCGACUAAUGUUGAAAAAUUAGCGGAUGACUUGUGGCUGGGGGUGAAAGGCCAAUCAAACCGGGAGAUAGCUGGUUCUCCCCGAAAGCUAUUUAGGUAGCGCCUCGUGAAUUCAUCUCCGGGGGUAGAGCACUGUUUCGGCAAGGGGGUCAUCCCGACUUACCAACCCGAUGCAAACUGCGAAUACCGGAGAAUGUUAUCACGGGAGACACACGGCGGGUGCUAACGUCCGUCGUGAAGAGGGAAACAACCCAGACCGCCAGCUAAGGUCCCAAAGUCAUGGUUAAGUGGGAAACGAUGUGGGAAGGCCCAGACAGCCAGGAUGUUGGCUUAGAAGCAGCCAUCAUUUAAAGAAAGCGUAAUAGCUCACUGGUCGAGUCGGCCUGCGCGGAAGAUGUAACGGGGCUAAACCAUGCACCGAAGCUGCGGCAGCGACGCUGAUGCGUUGUUGGGUAGGGGAGCGUUCUGUAAGCCUGUGAAGGUGUGCUGUGAGGCAUGCUGGAGGUAUCAGAAGUGCGAAUGCUGACAUAAGUAACGAUAAAGCGGGUGAAAAGCCCGCUCGCCGGAAGACCAAGGGUUCCUGUCCAACGUUAAUCGGGGCAGGGUGAGUCGACCCCUAAGGCGAGGCCGAAAGGCGUAGUCGAUGGGAAACAGGUUAAUAUUCCUGUACUUGGUGUUACUGCGAAGGGGGGACGGAGAAGGCUAUGUUGGCCGGGCGACGGUUGUCCCGGUUUAAGCGUGUAGGCUGGUUUUCCAGGCAAAUCCGGAAAAUCAAGGCUGAGGCGUGAUGACGAGGCACUACGGUGCUGAAGCAACAAAUGCCCUGCUUCCAGGAAAAGCCUCUAAGCAUCAGGUAACAUCAAAUCGUACCCCAAACCGACACAGGUGGUCAGGUAGAGAAUACCAAGGCGCUUGAGAGAACUCGGGUGAAGGAACUAGGCAAAAUGGUGCCGUAACUUCGGGAGAAGGCACGCUGAUAUGUAGGUGAAGUCCCUCGCGGAUGGAGCUGAAAUCAGUCGAAGAUACCAGCUGGCUGCAACUGUUUAUUAAAAACACAGCACUGUGCAAACACGAAAGUGGACGUAUACGGUGUGACGCCUGCCCGGUGCCGGAAGGUUAAUUGAUGGGGUCAGCGCAAGCGAAGCUCUUGAUCGAAGCCCCGGUAAACGGCGGCCGUAACUAUAACGGUCCUAAGGUAGCGAAAUUCCUUGUCGGGUAAGUUCCGACCUGCACGAAUGGCGUAAUGAUGGCCAGGCUGUCUCCACCCGAGACUCAGUGAAAUUGAACUCGCUGUGAAGAUGCAGUGUACCCGCGGCAAGACGGAAAGACCCCGUGAACCUUUACUAUAGCUUGACACUGAACAUUGAGCCUUGAUGUGUAGGAUAGGUGGGAGGCUUUGAAGUGUGG